AAGGGCGCUGGGCCGCCUCCCUCGGGGAAGCCCGGCGCCACCCUGCACGCAGCCCGCAGCCCGUCUGCCGCCCUGGCUUCUUCCCUGAAGUUGCUGCGAUUUCGCAACCCUCUGGGUUUGGAGAGAAACCGCCUCGGCUGUGCGAGGCCCGGGUGGUGCUUUCCCAGCAGGCACCUGUGGGACACCUGCUCUGCUGGGGGAGUGAGUGAGCGAUCGUUUCUGCGCUCCCGGAGCGCCUACCACGCAGGUGUGGCCCAGGAAACGCGUGAGACCAAGACAACGUGCCUUGAGUUGGAUGCAGCUGCGCGCUGUGGAAAAUAGGGAGGCAGGAGCCUGAGAACGAAGCCCCAUUGGCAGAGCAGGAAGAAGGCAGGAACCUGGUCUCCCGAAGACAUGGUUGAUGCCUGAAUCCCCGGAUCCUGGGGCUCAUCGCUUACUGUUCAACCUGGUCGGAGUUUGGUUUGUUGACCUCGGAGGCAGCUUAACGUAGGGACGGAAAAUACUUUCCAGAAUUUCUUCCUCACACCCUUCUCUGCCCCAGAACUUCCCUUCUGUCUUAUUGGCCAGCCCGGUGCCACACUGGCAAAUGUGGCUCAGCAAGUCUGGAAAAGCUUACGCUUAGUGACCCUCGGGAGAGAACUUUGGCUGAACCUGCUGAACUGGAGGAAAAGAAUUAGGAGCAUCUGGGGUUUCUUGACUGGAAAAAUUCUGUGGUCUGAGAGAUGACCAUUUCCCACCCAGCCGUCAUCAGAGAAAUGAAACUCACUUUCAGUCAGCUCAGCCGCUGUUUCUGGCCGUUCACCCCAUGUGGCCAAAUAAUAUGCUUUUGUGUUGACUCUUCAGAUUUAAUAUAAGAUCUUGACUUCCUCCUCAGAAAGGUGGUCCUGGUGUCUCCGAUCCUGCACUGCUGUCAGUGGUCCGGUGGGGCCAACCUGUGAGCUCUCUGCCUCCUCUCCUACCAUGUGCCUCGUCUCUGCAUCACCCGGCCCGACACCUGCUUUCCACUUUCCAAUAUUUUCUUUAUAUCUCUGCACUGUCAUUGCUCUUUUACCUCGAGGUUCUGUUUUGUUUUAUUUACUUGUUUUGCCUGUGACAACAUCUCUCUAGUGAAGUGAGUUUGGGGAAAGGAAAGGAGACGUGCGAGAGUCCUUCCGCCAUGUUUGCUUGGAUGCUCUCUCCAUCUUUCUCCAGUGGAAUAAAAGUACUUGAAUCAGAUUUGAUGGGAAUUCCAUCCAUUUUGAGAACGCUGCUGAAUCUUAGUUUCUAGGCCCAGUUCAUCACCCUAAUGAGCUGUGUCUGUCAUGCAUACAGUGAACAAUUAUAUUUGCGAAUUCUUUACAUGAAUUAAUGAAGCAGGUGUUCACUGGUGAACUCUGUAGACUCACAGAAGGAGAACACAUCAAGCUCAGUGACCUCAGGAGCAGCGGCUCCCUCUCUGGUUGCAAAUCAGGAUCACUGAAGGAGCGGCCAGAAUUACAGAUGUCUGAGGAUCAUCUCAGGAACUGGAUCCUGGGAUUAAUGCAUGUUUUCCAAGUAACUACCCAUUAUCUAGUCUUCUAGUUCCACAAGAGAAACAAACCUCUAGCUUCAAAGGCAGUGUUAGUCGUAUUUUUGUUGCUCACAGCUAAAGACAUCCCCAGUGGAUCUGUGAGGUUGAGUCCAAGGCACCAAAAUAUCCACUGGGAAGCCCACACAGCUCAGGGCAAAGCUCCAGAAAAAAGCAGCCAGCUGGGGGCCUCCUGGUGGUGUUCAUGAUCACGAUGGGGGAGGUGUUGGUCAUUCCUCUCAUCUCCUAGGUGAUCUGUGGUUCUUGCUCUCUUCGUCCUUGUGCCCCAAACCUUAUUUUUUUGCUUUUCAAAUCACAAAGAUUGGCAUCAGUUAUUUUUGGCUUUCUUCAGUCCCUCUCUAUGCAGUGUUCUCUUUCACGAGGCCACUUGGUCAUUGCAUAAGAAAGUGGGCAAAAUAAAUACAGAUAACAAAUAUCUCCUACGUUUAUUAACAACAGUGUUCUCGUUGUUGCUCCCCUGCCCCAGCCCUACCUUCAGCAAGAGAGCUGCUGGGUUUACGCUCUGAAAGCUGAAGACAGAUUUUAGGGAUCCCCACGGAAUGGCAGAACAGGGAGCUCGGGGAGAGGAGUGGCUGGAUUCUAAGGGCACCUCCAGAGGACUAAGGAAGGGCACAUAUGGGGAUUUCUUCCUGGGGGCAGGGGUCGAUCCAGUGCUAAAUGCCCAAGUCCGGGAAGCAAGGAGAGAGAGGAUAGCCCAAGGGCUGGAGCAGGAGGACAGGGGAGUAAGCUCUGGGAUGGUUCUGAGCUGUUCUUUUUAUUUAAGAGGGUUAGAGGUAGAAAUGACUGCAGUGCCGGGCCCUGAGACUGCUCACCCUCAGGGUGCUUCCCAUCCGACUCGGUUAUUUCUGGACCGUGAGUCGCACAUUCCCUGUAAAAGCUGUUUCUGAGACUCCUCUCUGUGUUCCUGCCCUCGGUUGCCCCUCAUGUAUCCCCUCACCUCCACCUUCUGCACAGGACGUCCUCCUCGGGAGUCCCACAGGGUCCUGUGAGCAUCUUUCUCUUUGGGCUUAUUCCCAACUAGCAUUCUGCCUAUCGUCCCAUCGCUGGUACUGAGCUGAACCUCUCGGGAGAGGGAAAGCAGCUUGGAUCUCUGAAUCCACAUCUAGAGAGACCUCCUGAACAUCUGCUGAAGGAACGAAUGCAUGAAUUGUCUAGCACUCAUUAGGUCCUCUUAGCACAUAUAACAACCUUCCCCGUGAGUGGCCAGUGGAGGCCGUGCUGGUUGCUCACUGAGCAGCUCCCCAGGAGAGAAACAUCUGCUGAGGCCGAAGACAUUCUCCCUAUUUUCUGAACGUUGUUCUGUGUUUACUUUCUAUACAAGUCCCUGUUACCUUCCUUCUCCCUUUCCUCAUGUUUCUGUGACUGGCCAACUCUUCUCCUGGGUGACACGUUGUCUCUAGAGGUUUGACGCAUUCAAGUUUUCUUGGCUUGGGAACCACUGAUCUUUUCAGGGUGCAUUCAAGGCGACUGUGGUACAGUUCUGAUUCGGUAUGUGUUAUUUUUACGGGUUGGCAGUGGGCCUGGGGGAGGUGAUUUUGUGUGCACCGGAGCAGGUUUUCAGCUUCUCAUACUACAAACCCAUGUAUUCCUUCACUACCCGUAUAGAGGCCAGUCUUACAAAGUGGAAGUGAAAGCCUGAGUUACUUGGGAGCUUAACAAUGGAACAGUUGAAACCACCAUUUGUUGUUACUUUGCCAAUCUCUUCUCCCUUUCCAACUUCCUGAGCAGUAAUACUGCAACCCCAGACUCUGCAUCAGCUCUCUGCAUCAAUGCUAGGUAAAGUCAAUCCACUUUUCCUGAAUUCAGUGGACUGAAAUAAGCAGGUAAAGCCAUGCUUUGCACCUAGUAAGGGAAUGACUGAAUGCCAGCUGUAACAAAAGCAAUGCUGUGUUCCUUGACAUUAACGCUUACAAGCACCAGGAAAAGCUAUUUGUGUCUUUGUCUUGUUUGUCCUCUAUUAUCCACUGGUUAUUAUCACCCUCUUUCUCAAGGGGAGGUAUUGCAUCUGUUCCUUGGAUUCAGGCGGAGUAUGGUUUUUGUUUUUUUUGGUACCGGGGAUCAAACUCGGGUCCUUGUGCUUGCAAGGCAG
This is a long non-coding RNA of Fukomys damarensis (Damara mole-rat), 3656 nucleotides long. RefSeq lists it as uncharacterized. The record is from RefSeq and is a predicted model, not a curated record. The transcript has 6 exons. NCBI's taxonomy places the organism in Eukaryota, Metazoa, Chordata, Mammalia, Rodentia, Bathyergidae.